AGAGUUUGAUCCUGGCUCGGGACGAACGCUGGCGGCGCGCCUAACACAUGCAAGUCGAACGAAGCACUUUAUUUGAUUUCUUCGGAAUGAAGAUUUUGUGACUGAGUGGCGGACGGGUGAGUAACGCGUGGGUAACCCUGCCUCAUACAGGGGGAUAACAGUUGGAAACGACUGCUAAUACCGCAUAAGCGCACAGGGUCGCAUGACCUGGUGUGAAAAACUCCGGUGGUAUGAGAUGGACCCGCGUCUGAUUAGCCAGUUGGUGGGGUAACGGCCUACCAAAGCAACGAUCAGUAGCCGACCUGAGAGGGUGACCGGCCACAUUGGGACUGAGACACGGCCCAGACUCCUACGGGAGGCAGCAGUGGGGAAUAUUGCACAAUGGGGGAAACCCUGAUGCAGCGACGCCGCGUGGAGGAAGAAGGUCUUCGGAUUGUAAACUCCUGUUGUUGAGGAAGAUAAUGACGGUACUCAACAAGGAAGUGACGGCUAACUACGUGCCAGCAGCCGCGGUAAAACGUAGGUCACAAGCGUUGUCCGGAAUUACUGGGUGUAAAGGGAGCGCAGGCGGGAAGACAAGUUGGAAGUGAAAUCCAUGGGCUCAACCCAUGAACUGCUUUCAAAACUGUUUUUCUUGAGUAGUGCAGAGGUAGGCGGAAUUCCCGGUGUAGCGGUGGAAUGCGUAGAUAUCGGGAGGAACACCAGUGGCGAAGGCGGCCUACUGGGCACCAACUGACGCUGAGGCUCGAAAGUGUGGGUAGCAAACAGGAUUAGAUACCCUGGUAGUCCACACUGUAAACGAUGAUUAAUAGGUGUUGGAGGAUUGACCCCUUCAGUGCCGCAGUUAGCACGAUAAGUAUUCCGCUUGGGGAGGAGGUUGGCAAGAAUGAAACUCAAAGGAAUUGAGGCGGACCCGCACAUGCGGUGGAGCAGGUGGCUUAAUGCGAAGCUGCGCGAUGAUCCGUUAUAAGUCGAGUCAUCGGGUUGCCAGAACACGUCAUGUGUGUUAUCUUAGGAGCAUCGGUGCCAGGGGGUGCAUGGGUGUAGUGAGUUAGUGUGGGGGGAAGUGGGGGUGAGUCCAGCAAGGAGCGCACCCCUUAUCGUCAGUAGCCAGCAGGUCAAGUGGGGCAGUCUGGGGAGGUUUCCAGGGAGGAAAGGGGGCAAGGAGGGGAAGGCGAUCAAAUCAUCGUGCGCUCUAUCAUUAGGCACCCCCGGGUGCUCCAAUGGUGUUUACGAGAGGGAGGCAAAGCGCGGGAGGGGGAGCGGAUCCCAAAAUUACCCUGGCAGCUGGGAUGGCCGUGAGCAAGUCGAGUGCUUGAAGCGGCAAUCGAGAGUAAUCGAGAAUCGGAACGUGGCGGGGAAUGAGUUCGCGGGUCUUGCACACGCCGCCCGUCA
RNAcentral lists this ribosomal RNA (1395 nucleotides) under uncultured bacterium. RNAcentral describes it as "partial 16S ribosomal RNA". It matches the Rfam family "Bacterial small subunit ribosomal RNA". The record is from RNAcentral.